GACAGAGUGACUCCCUUGAGCACAAAUCAGUGUCAGUGACUCAAUCACCAUGUCUGCUUUGGCAAACAGCACCGCAGUUCUGAAGGAUCAUAAGAACGAAAAUAGAAGACUGAGGCCUAUGUUAUCCAGUCCAGUGACACUUUCCUAGGACUUUGUUCUGUUUUGGUUUGGGGGUGUUUGUUUGGUUUGGUUUGGUUUGGUUUUUUCCUACUGGUCUCAGAAUUUAUCUAUUUGGCUAUAUCAAAUAAGUACAGGGACUCAGUUAAGUACAGGUCUCUUGCCUAAAAUCCUGAUUAUUUCUUUUUUGUCAACAUAAGCGAACACCUCCUUCACAGCAGUAAAUUGCUGCUAGACCUAAAUUUACCCGAUGAUGUGGUAUUAUUCUACUCUGGGUGCUUGUCCAUCGCACAUAUCUGUUUACCCUUUGGAUGCCAUGGCCAUGCAGGUACAGAGGGAGGCUCGCACACGGACACACUCAGUUGAAGACGAACGGCCUCAGCAAACGGCACUGCUUUCCCAACAGAGCACUGGAUGCUUGGAAAAAGGGCUCUUUAUCACAACCCUGCAGAGUUAAUAAGAAAUGCCAUUCUCCUCAAUCAAAGGUACAGGAGAAUUACCUACACCAGCAACAAGCCACAUCUCGUUCCACCUCAGACAAGCCACCUUGCAGAAGGAAAAAAGAAGGAAAGAAUAGCUCAGGAAUAUCUUCCCAUACUGAAAAUCUAAACCAUGUUAAACAAAAACACAAAAUAGAUAAAAAGUUUCUACAGGACAUUUCUGGGCAAAUCAGGGAACACACAAGAACAAACUUCUCUUUUCAGAACAUCACAGCUCCUCUGGAAAUCCCUGUGCCAGCUCAUUCCCUGUCAGCCCCCGUGAGCGCGGCCAGGCAGGCGGCCAGCAGCGAGAGGGGGAUCUGCUGCUCAGGGACACUUCAGCCAUCGCUCCCUGAGGGGUCACAGCCAAACAUCCCAAGGGACUCAAUGGCACCUGCCUGGCCUUGUCCUUCUGAUUUUACGAAUACAGGCAGAGGUGACCAACCUGGCAGCACAGCCUCAGAGACUACUGAGUCCUUACACCUAGAAGGGAGCCAGGAGAACAAGCUGAACAUGGAGCCAGAGGGUCAAAGGUCUGGGACCUUGGAGCCACUGACCCAGGUCUUGGGAAGGGAGAAACCUCCAGGUGAAGCAAACACACAUCCAUCUCCAAAAGACACCUCCAUGCCCAGCUCCCAGCCUGGACAUUCACAUUUAUUCGGUUCAAACACAGAGUCAGCCACAGGGGCUGAAUUACCCAGUAUGGAACACACCAAGUGGCCAAACUUCUCCCAAGCAACCCUCGACCUUCAGGGAAGCACCGAUGGGAAGGGAGCCCCCCGGCAGGAGAAGAGCCAUGGACAGCCCCCUGCAAUGGCCACUGCUGCCUUCACAAAGCCCCCGGUCACUCUCAGGUCCCCCGAGUGCGAGACUUACUCUGCAACACCCUCCAAGACGUACAAAAAGAGAGGGUUAGAGAUGAUGAGGAAGCAAAGCAGGGUUGAGUACGAUGACACUAGCAGUGAUGACGAAGACAGGCUUGUCAUAGAAAUAUAGCACACGGGCUGCUAACGAGAUGCUCGUAUGAUGGCCCAUUACAGAAGGAAAUACCUCGGAUGUUCGACCUGUCUUUCUGAAGCACCUUAAAAUCAGAGAAGCCAUUCCUCUGUGCAAUAGGCAGCGUUCUCUUCUGAAGACUGUCCUUUAUUUCAAGGACUCCAAGUUUUUUAAAGAAGCUUGUUUGAAGCCAAGAGGGAGCUGGCAUCACACACUGAAAUGCAAGUGGCAAACCUGCGCUUCGGAGGGGUUUCCAGCAUUGGUAACAUCCUUCCCUGUCUACGCUGAUUCCCACCAGCGCUGCCAGUCGCUGCAUUACCAACAGGCUGCGGUGUAUUUAUUUCCUACUGACAACCCUGAGCAGCAGCUUCCUCAGCACACGAGCUAAGAUCUCCUGGAAAGGUACGGGAGUGUUCUUUUCUAGACACUCCUCUUUUCUUGCAGUCACUUCCAUCUGGGCUGGGAGCGAUACCCUGGCAUUAAGGGAAGAUCUGUUCCCUGUUGGAAGUUAUAUUGGAAGGGACUGGAAAAAUGCUGAUCUUUUUCCAUGUUGCACAAAUGUCAAUGCUUCUUUGUGACAAAUGACACAAGCAUGCUCUGCUUUGUGUUUUGUGCCUUUUAUGCCAAGACCUACUCAAAUAGUCUUGAUUUCUAGUUGGAGAAUAUGGAUGUUCACUAUUAGUAUUUCCUUGUGGUAAGAUUUCUGACAAGGAUUUUCUCAUUCUAUUCAUCACAUUGUGCUCCGACCAAUAUAAUCUGGAAUGUUUCACUUUCGUUGUACUCUUAAGUUUAACUGCAAUGAUGCUAAUUUAUUGAGAGUAAAGAAGCUAUAUGGCAUAACUUGUUUUCUUUUUUUAACAAAAAGUUUUGUGCUACGAAUCCUGAAAUUUACUGGUUUCUAUGUGAAUAAAUAAUUAGAUAUUUUAAUUUGACUAAGUGCA
Long non-coding RNA from Calidris pygmaea (Spoon-billed sandpiper), 2533 nucleotides. The record is from Ensembl. Lineage: Eukaryota; Metazoa; Chordata; Aves; Charadriiformes; Scolopacidae.